This 844-nucleotide ribosomal RNA is filed under the name uncultured archaeon. RNAcentral's name for it is "bacterial SSU rRNA". It matches the Rfam family "Archaeal small subunit ribosomal RNA", at positions 75 to 922 of the family's 1478-position model. The record is from RNAcentral.
UAUGUGGCAUACGGCUCAGUAACACGUAGUCAACAUGCCCAGGGGACGUGGAUAACCUCGGGAAACUGAGGAUAAACCGCGAUAGGUCAUCACUUCUGGAAUGGGUAAUGACUUAAAUCUACAUGGCCCCUGGAUUGGACUGCGGCCGAUCAGGCUGUUGGUGAGGUAAUGGCCCACCAAACCUGUAACCGGUACGGGCUCUGAGAGGAGGAGCCCGGAGAUGGGCACUGAGACAAGGGCCCAGGCCCUAUGGGGCGCAGCAGGCGCGAAACCUCUGCAAUAGGCGAAAGCUUGACAGGGUUACUCUGAGUGAUUUCCGUUAAGGAGAUCUUUUGGCACCUCUAAAAAUGGUGCAGAAUAAGGGGUGGGCAAGUCUGGUGUCAGCCGCCGCGGUAAUACCAGCACCCCGAGUGGUCGGGACGUUUAUUGGGCCUAAAGCAUCCGUAGCCGGUUCUACAAGUCUUCCGUUAAAUCCACCUGCUUAACAGAUGGGCUGCGGAAGAUACUAUAGAGCUAGGAGGCGGGAGAGGCAAGCGGUACUCGAUGGGUAGGGGUAAAAUCCGUUGAUCCAUUGAAGACCACCAGUGGCGAAGGCGGCUUGCCAGAACGCGCUCGACGGUGAGGGAUGAAAGCUGGGGGAGCAAACCGGAUUAGAUACCCGGGUAGUCCCAGCUGUAAACGAUGCAGACUCGGUGAUGAGUUGGCUUAUUGCUAACUCAGUGCCGCAGGGAAGCCGUUAAGUUUGCCGCCUGGGGAGUACGGUCGCAAGACUGAAACUUAAAGGAAUUGGCGGGGGAGCACCACAAGGGGUGAAGCCUGCGGUUCAAUUGGAUUCAACGCCGGG